CUACGGGAGGCAGCAGUGAGGAAUAUUGCACAAUGGGGGGAACCCUGAUGCAGCAACGCCGCGUGGAGGAUGACGCAUUUCGGUGUGUAAACUCCUUUUAUAUGUCAAGAAAAUGACGGUAGCAUAUGAAUAAGCACCGGCUAACUCCGUGCCAGCAGCCGCGGUAAUACGGAGGGUGCAAGCGUUACUCGGAAUCACUGGGCGUAAAGGACGCGUAGGCGAGUUGGAAAGUCAGGCGUGAAAUCCUACAGCUUAACUGUAGAACUGCACUUGAAACUUCUAAUCUAGAGUAUGGGAGGGGGAGAUGGAAUUAGUGGUGUAGGGGUAAAAUCCGUAGAUAUCACUAGGAAUACCUAAAGCGAAGGCGAUCUCCUGGAACAUUACUGACGCUAAGGCGUGAAAGCGUGGGGAGCAAACAGGAUUAGAUACCCGAGUAGUC
Molecule: ribosomal RNA, 439 nt
Filed under: uncultured bacterium
Lineage: Bacteria
Description: partial 16S ribosomal RNA
Rfam family: Bacterial small subunit ribosomal RNA
Source: RNAcentral